UACGUAGGGGGCGAGCGUUAUCCGGAAUUAUUGGGCGUAAAGAGUGCGUAGGUGGCACAUUAAGCGUAUGGUUUAAGGCAAUGGCUCAACCAUUGUACGCCGUACGAACUGGUGUGCUUGAGUACAGGAGAGGGAAGCGGAAUUCCUAGUGUAGCGGUGAAAUGCGUAGAUAUUAGGAGGAACACCAGUGGCGAAGGCGGCUUUCUGGACUGUAACUGACACUGAGGCACGAAAGCGUGGGGAGCAAACA
Molecule: ribosomal RNA, 250 nt
Filed under: uncultured prokaryote
Description: partial 16S ribosomal RNA
Rfam family: Bacterial small subunit ribosomal RNA
Source: RNAcentral